Molecule: transfer RNA, 90 nt
Filed under: Streptomyces althioticus
Lineage: Bacteria; Bacillati; Actinomycetota; Actinomycetes; Kitasatosporales; Streptomycetaceae
Description: tRNA-Val
Source: RNAcentral
CUCGCCGUGGGCUGGAUGGUCCGCGGCGCCGACGGCCCCGUCGAACGGCGCGACCCGGUGCAGGUGCCGGCGUUCGUCGCCGAGGAGAGC